ACAGAGGAGGCAAGCGUUGUUCGGAAUCACUGGGCUUAAAGCGCGUGUAGGCGGCUUAGAAAGUGUCGUGUGAAAUCCCGCGGCUCAACCGCGGAACUGCACGGCAAACUACUUGGUUUGAGGUCGGUAGAGGUGCCUGGAACUCUAGGUGGAGCGGUGGGAUGCGUAGAUAGUUAGAUGAACGACAGAAUCGAAAGCCGGGUUUUGGACCGUUACCGAUUCUAAGCCGAGAAAGCGUCUCGAGCAAACAG
RNAcentral lists this ribosomal RNA (251 nucleotides) under uncultured prokaryote. RNAcentral's name for it is "partial 16S rRNA". It matches the Rfam family "Bacterial small subunit ribosomal RNA", at positions 525 to 775 of the family's 1533-position model. The record is from RNAcentral.